UAUCUCUCCGUACGGGGAAGGAUGAGAAGCUUCGACUAAGGUUCGAUUCGAGCGAAAGCGAGAAAGCGUUGCCAACGGCAACGACCCGAAGGGCGAAGCG
RNAcentral lists this small RNA (100 nucleotides) under Salmonella enterica subsp. enterica serovar Albany. Its description in RNAcentral is "partial RtT sRNA". It matches the Rfam family "RtT RNA", at positions 1 to 98 of the family's 130-position model. Rfam says of the family: This family represents a bacterial cis-regulatory element known as RtT RNA. Lineage: Bacteria; Pseudomonadati; Pseudomonadota; Gammaproteobacteria; Enterobacterales; Enterobacteriaceae. The record is from RNAcentral.